This 70-nucleotide transfer RNA is filed under the name Dipodomys ordii (Ord's kangaroo rat). It matches the Rfam family "tRNA". Rfam says of the family: Transfer RNA (tRNA) molecules are approximately 80 nucleotides in length. Their secondary structure includes four short double-helical elements and three loops (D, anti-codon, and T loops). The record is from Rfam by way of RNAcentral. Lineage: Eukaryota; Metazoa; Chordata; Mammalia; Rodentia; Heteromyidae.
GGGAAUGUGGCUUAGUGGUAGAGUGCUUGCCUAACAUGUAUGAAGCCCUGGGUUCAAUUCCUCAGUACCA